RNAcentral lists this long non-coding RNA (207 nucleotides) under Felis catus (domestic cat). RNAcentral's name for it is "lncRNA (ENSFCAG00000041295.2)". The record is from RNAcentral. Lineage: Eukaryota; Metazoa; Chordata; Mammalia; Carnivora; Felidae.
CAAAUCUCUAAUUGUUUCUGGAACAUUGAUGCUGCAAUCAACUUUUAUUGAAUUUGGGAGAAAACUAAGGAUGAGAGUGAUACAAAGGUCGCUUCACUUGCAUUUCUCAAUGUCUACUAUGUGUUGAACUGUAAAGAAGAACAAGCAAGGGCCAUUGAAUGUAGAAGGGGACACAGCUGAAUAAACAGGGAAUUUGAAAUUGUUACA